UACGGAGGGGGCUAGCGUUGCUCGGAAUCACUGGGCGUAAAGGGCGCGUAGGCGGCCAAGUAAGUUGGGGGUGAAAGCCCGUGGCUCAACCACGGAAUUGCCUUCGAUACUGCUUGGCUUGAGACCGGAAGAGGUGAGUGGAACUGCGAGUGUAGAGGUGAAAUUCGUAGAUAUUCGCAAGAACACCAGUGGCGAAGGCGGCUCACUGGUCCGGAUCUGACGCUGAGGCGCGAAAGCGUGGGGAGCAAACAGG
This 253-nucleotide ribosomal RNA is filed under the name uncultured bacterium. RNAcentral describes it as "partial 16S ribosomal RNA". It matches the Rfam family "Bacterial small subunit ribosomal RNA", at positions 524 to 776 of the family's 1533-position model. The record is from RNAcentral.